This 271-nucleotide ribosomal RNA is filed under the name uncultured bacterium. RNAcentral's name for it is "partial 16S ribosomal RNA". It matches the Rfam family "Bacterial small subunit ribosomal RNA", at positions 524 to 794 of the family's 1533-position model. The record is from RNAcentral.
UACGAAGGGUGCGAGCGUUAUUCGGAGUUAUUGGGCGUAAAGAGCGUGUAGGCGGUUGAACAAGUCAGUUGUUAAAGAACUCAGCUCAACUGGGUAAAGGCAAUUGAAACUGUUCAGCUAGAGGGUAAGAGAGAGAAGCGGAAUUCUCGGAGUAGCGGUAAAAUGCGUAGAUCUCGAGAGGAACACCGGUGGCGAAGGCGGCUUCUUGGCUUACUACUGACGCUGAAGUGCGAAAGCGUGGGGAGCAAACAGGAUUAGAAACCCGAGUAGU